GAGGGCCAGAUUGAAACGGUCCGACGCACUUCACUUGCAAUGCAGAUCAUCAUUUCUGGACAGCUUUCUACUUACUGCUGUGGACAUGAAAGGAUCGUCCUAGGCUUGCCCAUGCUGAUGGGCUGCACCACAGCAGUACUGGAGCUGAAUUCCUGUUAGAAAACAUCUUCAGGAUGCUUUGACGAGGACACCCCCAAUGUGAAGCAGUGGACAACUGAAGAUGUUGCUGGCUGUUAUUGCUAGACAUUAUUUAAAUUUGAUUGUGUGC
This is a long non-coding RNA of Danio aesculapii, 268 nucleotides long. RefSeq lists it as uncharacterized. The transcript is spliced from 3 exons. The record is from RefSeq and is a predicted model, not a curated record. Lineage: Eukaryota; Metazoa; Chordata; Actinopteri; Cypriniformes; Danionidae.